GUGCCCACUUUGGUAAUACAUAUACCAAAAUUGGAGUGAUAUAGAGAAUAUUAGUGUGGCCUUUGUGCAAGGAUGACACACAAAUUCAUGAAGCAUUCCAUAUUUUU
Molecule: small nuclear RNA, 107 nt
Organism: Dipodomys ordii (Ord's kangaroo rat)
Lineage: Eukaryota; Metazoa; Chordata; Mammalia; Rodentia; Heteromyidae
Source: Ensembl